CCUGCAUCCUGGUUGCAUACAUUUACAGGACUCGAAUCUUAGCAGCUACAUGUCAAAAAUGCCUGGUACCUACAGGAUAAUGUGCAUAUAUCUGCUCUAUGCAUAGGAAAGAUAUUAAUACAUAUUUUCAUCUGGAAAUUUGAUAGGCUUCAAAAAGAAUCUGGGAAUAUAGGACAAAAACAGAAUGAAUGGAAGAAGGGGAAAGAGGAGAGAGUUGAGAGGGUAACAUUUGCUGAGUUGCAGAACUGA
RNAcentral lists this long non-coding RNA (249 nucleotides) under Ictidomys tridecemlineatus (thirteen-lined ground squirrel). Its description in RNAcentral is "lncRNA (ENSSTOG00000030845.1)". The record is from RNAcentral. Lineage: Eukaryota; Metazoa; Chordata; Mammalia; Rodentia; Sciuridae.